AUCCAGCUGACGAGUCUCAAAUAAGACGAAACGCGCGUAAUGGAU
Non-coding RNA from Schistosoma margrebowiei, 45 nucleotides. The record is from Rfam. Lineage: Eukaryota; Metazoa; Platyhelminthes; Trematoda; Strigeidida; Schistosomatidae.